This 229-nucleotide ribosomal RNA is filed under the name uncultured bacterium. RNAcentral describes it as "partial 16S ribosomal RNA". It matches the Rfam family "Bacterial small subunit ribosomal RNA", at positions 568 to 796 of the family's 1533-position model. The record is from RNAcentral.
UACGUAGGCGGGCGAUUAAGUCAGAGGUGAAAUCCCACAGCUCAACUGUGGAACUGCCUUUGAUACUGGUUGUCUUGAGUUACAGUGAAGUAGAUAGAAUAUGUAGUGUAGCGGUGAAAUGCAUAGAUAUUACAUAGAAUACCGAUUGCGAAGGCAGUCUACUAACUGUUAACUGACGCUAAGGGACGAAAGCGUGGGGAGCGAACAGGAUUAGAUACCCUGGUAGUCC